Coccidioides immitis RS is the source of this 91-nucleotide non-coding RNA. The record is from the annotation of a RefSeq genome assembly. Lineage: Eukaryota; Fungi; Ascomycota; Eurotiomycetes; Onygenales; Onygenaceae.
CCCCCGAUGGUGUAGUUGGAUAUCACGUUCGGCUGUAAAGGGAACUUCUCAUGCUACCGAAAGGUCGCCGGCUCGACUCCGGCUCGGGGGA